GAAGAAGAAGAAGAAGAAGAAGAAGAAUCGUCACCACAUAAAUUGGGUUAUGGGCUUCGUAAUUUUUUAGGCCUACUUAUAUGCUGAAGUGUGAUAAUAGGUUUUUAAGAUCAAUUAAUCCUAAAGCACUAUCAUGUCGUUGUAGUACUGAAGGUGUAUCUCCAAAUGGGUGUGAUGCUAACAAUCAAGAUGUGAUCAGAAGUCACUAAGUCAAGCCAAGCAAUAACAGGUUGUGGUGUGUUCUAGCAGUUCUAAGUGAACAUGCAGAAAACAGAAAUUCAAGCAGAAACAGUAAAACACUCGACCAACACAGCUCUUUGCAGAGCACUGGGUGAGGUCGAGUGACAGGUCGAGUAACAGACAAAAAAUAAAACAUAGAUACUCGACUGCACAGUCUCUUGCCAGACAACUGGGUGGUCGAGUAUGAGGUCGAGUAACAAGAAAGAACUGCAGAAACUAAGCGACAGAUAACAAGAUGCAGUAAACAACAGUAGAGUAAACAAAGAAUUCAAUCAGAUAAAGAAUUCCCGAGGAUGGGGUAAUUGAGUAGUUUCGUUUCCUCAGUUUAUAGGUGAUUGGCAUGCUCAAUAAAUUAACCCUAGACAAUAAGUUCAUUAACCAAAUCUAAGUGCCACCGCAACAGAGACCCUCAAGUUAACCUAGUCCCAGACUCAAUCACCAUUGACGAGAGCUAACCUAACAUGCAUUAUGAAUCAACAAGUUAAAGCCAAAACGCUCCCUGCAACCAAUACCUUGGUACAGGGUCACGAUUCUCUGGAAUUAGUGGUUCAGAUAUUUCAUCGAACACCUUUUGGGCGCAAAAAUGUCUGGGCUCAAAUUCCAGUUGAUAAGAAAGCAAUAGGCAUUAAGAACAACUAAUCCAGAAGGGAUCUAUUAAUCAAUACUCAAUCACCUAGCAUACUGAGAAUUCUACACUACUCUAACCCAUCCUUAAAAACCUAUUCACUACUCAAACAUCAUAACAGAAAGCAUAAACGUUGAACAUGUUGAAAACAUGAUAACAAUAGUGUAAAAGCAGGAUGAUAACAGAAUGAACAACAGUAAACGAAAUCAAGAACAAAAGCUGAAUACUGAAUACUGAAUAGAUAAAGAGAAAUCCGGAUUACAAAAGGUCUAGAACACAAAUUCUGCGGAAUAAAACUAGAUAAAAACUUGUUUGCGAAAAUGUGAAGUACAUGCUACUUAUAGCCAAAUAUUCUGAAAGCCUAAUACUUAAAACGACGAAGUAUUGGGACGGAUUAAGAACUGUACUCGACCCAGGUGGUCGAGUGGGAGGUCGAGUGAAUAGCUGGAGUCUUCUUUUCUUCCUUGUGUUCGAGUGUCUGGUUGAGUGCGGAAUGAAGAAGACUCUGAAGCUUGCCAUCGAGGGUGUAGUCGAGUGGUGGUGAAGGUGAUAUUGACUUCCAGGUAGAGUGAUGUAGUCGAGUGAUGAUCAGGUAAUGGUGGUGAAGGCACUCGACCUCGGGGUCGAGUGAUGUGAUCGAGUGAUGGUCAGGUGAUGGAGAUGAAGACGCUCGACCUCGAGGUCGAGUGGUGAGGUGAAGUGGUGAUGUCUUCUACUCGACCUGGGGGUCGAGUGAUCUCUUGAGAUCUCGAAGCUCCUACUCGACCUCUGGGUCGAGUGGUUUGUCAUGAUCAGGUCCGCUUCUUCCAGUUAGCUCGUCAAUAGGUCCAAAUCACUUGAAAUCAACACAAAAAUGCAACAUACAUGUAAACCUAUCCUAAACAUGUAAAGUGAUGACAAAUGAUGAGAAAUGGUAUAAAACAGUGAUGAUAUGAUGCUAAAGUGAUGACAAAUGGAUGCUCAAAACAUGCAAAAUACACACUUAUCAAAGUGUGGUGUGUUCAGUUCAAUUUCCCCAAACACUAACAUGUCGAUGCAGCUAUAAGGGGUGUCAAUCCAGUCCACUGUUAUUGCUAGCAAUCAAGUCAGGCUCGAAUGAUGAAUGCCUCGCAGGGACAUGCGGAAUCUCCUGCUCUCUAGGCUCAGGCCUGCGCUGACUUGGCUCGGGCGCGUCAUAUCUCCUCGAAGGCAUGUCUUGAGGGAGUUGUCCCUGCGGAAUUGCUGUAGUGGAAGAGGAGCAGCUGAUUUUAUCCUUGAGAAACUUGAUAGCCCUGAGGCACUUGGCGAGUAACUUAUCCUGUUUCUUGCACCACUUCUGCAGCUUGCUGUUGUUCCUGUGAGCUUCGCUCAAACUCUUGCUUUCCCUCGCUGGAGGUAUAUGCUCACUGAAAUGAUACAUGCUCGUGUCAAAUUCCGCCUCAUCUAUAUCAUCCGUCUCAUCAACAUCUUCUGUUGUAGCUCCUUCGGUGUGACUGAUCUCCUCAGUUGGCGGACUGCCCUCGAAAUAAAGAUCUUCAAGCGUAGGCUUGAAGUCAAUGUUUCUGCCCUCGAGAAUCCUAGUAGCGUCAAUGCAGGGGAGAAGAAUGUUGGCGAUUCUAAUCGAUGAAUGCUCGAACCUGUAGCGGUGAAAGUCGCCAGCCAUGUCAAACUCCAAGAACUCACAUCUGCGCAAAUGAUCCAAGUCCAUCAUCCUCGGUGCUAACCCUGGUUCCUUGAGCGGUACUCCACAAGCUUCCAGAAUUGGCGUCACAAUGCCACCCACGCAUAGUGCUCCUCUCACCUUCUUCUUUCCGUUCGUCAACGCCCACUUCCUGUAUCCACACAGGUGGAUCGAUAGAGGCAUUACUGGUGGUGCGUUAUUGAGAUCGCCUCUCAAGACAUUCUUUCCCUUCGUCCGGCGGAGCAUCCCUGUAAGCGCAGAAUCUAUCAUCUCCAUGUCCGUGUUAGACACGGUGCCUGUAGACUCUCUAGAGUAAAAUACGUUGGCAACCGAGCGCUGAAAGUAGCGGGUUACAGGACUCCGGAUUUGGUUGCUCUUGGACCGCGCCGAGUUUAGCGGUAGAUUGUUCCCAAUGGUGGCCCACAAAUCCUUAAGCUCCUCUCUGUCAAACCUGGGUUUGGUUCCCUUUCCACUAGGGAAACCAAACAGUUCUUCCAACUUCUUGAUCGAAAGCUGAUACCACUGCUCAUCCACUGAGAACGUCAAGAAGCCUAAACCCAUGGUAUCCAGCUCAAAGUCUGUGAGUCCCUCAUACAUCUCCACUUGCAGCGUGGGAAGAAACUCGAUUGUCUCCUCCUUAUAAGCAGCGUAAGGGUAAGACAUGAGUGUCUCUAGAUGACACUUCUCGAACAGAUGUUGCACGUCCUCCAGUAACCCCAGCUGGGCUAAAGUCUCAUAGCACAGAUACCUCGUUCCCCAAAAGUCAUUCAUCUCAAAGAAUCUGAUAUACUCCUCCACUGUAACCUCGUCGGGUUUGUUCAGCAGCUUCGUCUCCUUACGCCAUGACUCUGGCUCAUACUCAGUUUCGAUGUCCUCAUCAAUCAGCUCAUAUCUACUCGACAUCGCCCUCUUUCCUCUGGCGAUUUCAGCUCUUCUCUGAUUACGUCGGGCUGUGGAGAGUUCUAAUUCAUCCCUGAAGCUCUGGUAAACAUGUUGCUCUCUCGGUCUAACGGACUAGGACUCAGCUUCAUCCACAUUGUAAUCAGGGUCCAUAAAAGAUUCUCCACUGUAGUUACUCAUGAUGAAACCUGAAAACAGACAAAACUCAAAGAUAAACGUUAAUACGUUAGUAACAGCAAACCAAAAACACAAACCAAUCAAGUGAACCGGUCGAGUGAUGUAAUCGACUAAACCGUCGGUUUUGAAUUUUUUUUUUCUUUUCUUUCGGUUGAUCGAGUGAUUUUGUUUGGUCGAGUGAAGCUAGUUUCGUGGUUAGAGUGAGGCGGUGGUCGAGUGGCGUCGCUUUGGCGGUGAAUCGAGUGAUGAAUGGACUUGAGAGAUGAGAGAACAAUGGCACCUUGGUCGAGUGGUUAUGAGCUAGAAGUGGUGAAGGCGGCUUGGUGAUAGAGGUCGAGUGAAUGAAAUGGCAAGGUCGAGUGAUUAGGCAAGGUCGAGUAGCGAGGCUUGGACGGACAAAGUGAUGAGGAAUCGAGUGUUUGGUGAUGAGAGACGAGUUUGAAAGAGAUCGAGUGAAGCUUGUGAGAAUGGCAAUGGUGAUGAGAACUCGAGUGAUGUUGAGCUCGCGGAGAAGAGAAGACGGUGAUGACGUUGGUCGAGUGAUGUCGCAGAUGGAGAGAUGAUGAGCUUGAAGGUGAUAAGUGUUCAGCAGUGAAGAGACCGAGUGAUGGUUAAGGUCGAGUGUUUUAUGGGAGAGAAGUGGGAGAAAUGAAGUCGAGUUUAUGAGGUAUGGGGUCGAGUGGUUGAGAGAAGAGAGAUGAGAGUUUGGUUUGUUGGUGGUGAUGAAUGAGGAGGGGUCGAGUGUAUAAUAGGUGAGGUGGAGAUAACGAGGUCGAGUAAGUGAUAGGUGGGGGAUGGUGAUGUCGUCGAGGUCGAGUGGUGUGUGGAGAUGGGAUAAGGUGAGGGGUCGAGUGGUUGUGAGAAGAAGGAGUUGGAUUUCUUGUCUGUUGGUUAGGAGCGUGGGAGACAUAGGGUGCAACAGUGGGUCCCUCGCUUGUCUCUUUCUUCUGAAUCAUUACUCUAUCUUCACUAGGAAAAUUUCAGUAAAUCCUAAAAUCUGCUUUAAACUUGAUGAACUCUCUGUAAGACUCUGUAGCUCCCGUUGGUCGAGUAAAAUGAUGAUUUAAAAG
Molecule: small RNA, 4672 nt
Filed under: Arabidopsis thaliana (thale cress)
Lineage: Eukaryota; Viridiplantae; Streptophyta; Magnoliopsida; Brassicales; Brassicaceae
Description: ATSL161700
Source: RNAcentral